GACGAACGCUGGCGGCGCGCUUAACACAUGCAAGUCGAACGGAAAGGCCUGCUUUCCCUUGUGGAUUGCGGGUACUCGAGUGGCGAACGGGUGAGUAACACGUGAGUGAUCUGCCCCCAACUUGGGUAUAAGCCUGGGAAACUGGGUCUAAUUCCCGAUAGGACUGCAGGGUGGUGCCUGUGGUGGAAAACGAUUUUCUAGUGGUUGGGGAUGAGCUCGCGGCCUAUCAGCUUGUUGGUGGGGUAAUGGCCUACCAAGGCGGCGACGGGUAGCCGGCCUGGGAGGGUGGACGGGCACAGUGGGACUGAGAUACGGCCCAGACUCCUACGGGAGGCAGCAGUGGGGAAUAUUGCACGAUGGGCGGAAGCCUGAUGCAGCGAGGCCGCGUGGGGGAUGACGGCCUUCGGGUUGUAAACUCCUUUCGACCGCGAGGAAGCCACCUGGAUGGAAGGGUGGUGACGGUAGUGGUAGAAGAAGCACCGGCUAACUACGUG
RNAcentral lists this ribosomal RNA (494 nucleotides) under uncultured bacterium. RNAcentral describes it as "partial 16S ribosomal RNA". It matches the Rfam family "Bacterial small subunit ribosomal RNA", at positions 28 to 507 of the family's 1533-position model. The record is from RNAcentral.